RNAcentral lists this long non-coding RNA (2264 nucleotides) under Malus domestica (apple). RNAcentral describes it as "long non-coding RNA (MDOM_LNC011453)". The record is from RNAcentral. Lineage: Eukaryota; Viridiplantae; Streptophyta; Magnoliopsida; Rosales; Rosaceae.
ACAACUAAGCCUUUGAAUUUCUAGAAGAUCCUUAUCUGAAAACUGGAAUUGCAUCUCCAAUGCAUUGUAUCAUGUUCAACAAAGAAAAAUUAGAUUGAGUCAAUGGCAAGUAGAUGAAUUCAAUAAAAUGAUAAAUUAAUCAUAAAAAGAAUGAUUAAAAUGUAAUACUCCCCUGAUUGAAGAUCAAACUCUCUUUAGUGCAACGUCGAAAACGUGUUGACAACGUAUUGACAACGUAUUGUAAGCCUAAUUUACUGAAUCAUAUAAAGAACAUAGGGAGUGGGGGUGCAGCAACAUUAGAGAGAAAGAGAGAAAUGUGUAAUUGUGAGGUGUGUGUUGUAUCUCCCCAUUGUGCCUUUAUUUAUAGUAGUAGGGAAGGUAAAUUCCUUAUCCCAAUAGGAUUACAAUUCUAAUGUGAUAAUAUCUAGUCUAAAGAUAUGGUAGAGUCCCACAAGGAUAUCUCAUAUAUGAUAGGAUUUACAUGAUCACAUUCCUAAUCUAAUAGGACUGCAACAUGUUACAAUAUAUUAAUAAUUAUGUGGGUACAUUAUUUAUUUGCUUGAACUAUGUGAAGAACAAUAUUACCCUAUUAUUGAUUUUUAAGUAAUUGUUAUAUUGUAAAAAUAUUACUCUAAUCUAAUAGGAUUGCAACAUAUUACAAUAUAUUAAUAAUUAUGUGGGUACAUUAUUUUUUUGCUUGAUACAUUAUGUUUUUGCUUAAACUAUGUGAAGAACAAUAUUACUCUAUUAUUGAUUUUUAAGUAAUUGUUAUAUUGUAAAAAUAUUAUUUAAAUUUGUUUAAAUUUCAUAAUUUUAUGGGAUAUUGAAUGCAUAAGUGGAGUUAAAUCCCUUAAAUAAAUGAUGUUAGGGACUUCGAUCAAACUAUUUAAACACACAAGAUUUUAUUAUAACAAUUAAGUUGAUUAGGAACCAAAAUCAAAGGGAUCCCCUUGACAAAUCUACAUGUACCAAUCGUAUUACCAAAGUACAUGAACCUCACAAAAUAUUGAUGAUUCUGGAUCAUGAAACGCACACGUUGAUCGAUGACUCUAGAUUGGGGUUAUCGCAUUUACAUUUGCAUAUAUUUAUUUAAAAUUAUUGUCAAAGGUGAUAUAGCGUUGGUAUUGUAUUUGACUGUCACGUUUGUCGUUCUGCUAAUUGCAUGCACAUUAAUUAGCCAAACAAGUUUAAUUCCUUUCAAUUUGAGGAACCUCCAGUUUUCUUCAAAAAGAAAUAUAGUCAAUGUUUCUAGUUAUUUCAAACUCAUUCUCAAUUGUUUUACAAUUUUAUUUAAACCAACCUAAUCUUAUGAUCAUAUUCCAACUUUCUUUUUAAUUGAAAAUACAAAUUAGUAUGCAUAUAACUUUACUGUUAUUAAGUUACUAAUUGAUUUAUGUAGGGAAGCUCAAGUUAGGUUGAAAUACUAUGCCUUUUAUUUGCAGAUGGGAACAGAAUAUUAUUUCAUUUUCUGCAUAUGAAUAGAGAUUCGAGACCAAAUGCCGGUGUCGUUGUUCAAAGGUAACAAGGAUCGGCCAACAAACAAAUUUCAACUAAUUUUGAUUUUAGGGCUAGUGGUACACCCUCUGAAUAGAAAUAAGAUUACACUAAGGGCUGAUUUGGAGUUGUCUAAAUUUUUUAAAAAGCAGCUUUUUGAAAAGUAGGAGAAUAAUUGUAUUUGAUAAAUAAAAGAAAAAGUGCUUAUUUUCAAAAUCAUGGGUAAAAAACCUCAUAAAACAGAAGUAGGUAAAACCAUGCUUAUAAAAAGAGUGUUUUUUUCGCCACUUAGUACUACGGUUUAGUGAUUUUUCUCUUCACUUGUAAGUGAGAAGUCUUAAGUUGGAUUCUUGCCAAAGUCAAAUUUGAACCACCUUAUUGUUAACUCAUUGUGGGCUAUGCUCAUCCUCAUUCCUUUAGUGUAAAUAAUAUCGGUUUUUUUAAGUGUUUUUUUGGGAGCAGGUGGAGUGAAUAGUGCGCAUUAAUGAAAUUUUCCAAAGACAAAAUCUCAACACCAAUCCACUUGCUCUCUCUCUCUCUGUCUCUAUAUGUGAAAAGCCCUAAGAGAAACCCUUGCUCAGCGGUCGGCCUAGCCUUUAGCUAUAGGGUCAAUGGCAGCCCUGAAAAUCUCUCCUGCUUCCUUCUACUUUUCUUUCUUCUCUUCCAUUCCCUGUCUUUUUUUUUAUGCUUUUUUUUUCUGAGCUUUGUCUCAUCUAUCUGAGCUUUGGUCUCACUUUUGUUCCCUCUCCUCAAUCAUCGGUCGCUCACCG